AUUGAACGCUGGCGGCAUGCCUUACACAUGCAAGUCGAACGGUAACGCGGGGCAACCUGGCGACGAGUGGCGAACGGGUGAGUAAUAUAUCGGAACGUGCCCAGUAGUGGGGGGAUAGCCCGGCGAAAGCCGGAUUAAUACCGCAUACGACCUACGGGUGAAAGCGGGGGAUCGCAAGACCUCGCGCUAUUGGAGCGGCCGAUAUCAGAUUAGGUAGUUGGUGGGAUAAAGGCUUACCAAGCCUACGAUCUGUAGCUGGUCUGAGAGGACGACCAGCCACACUGGGACUGAGACACGGCCCAGACUCCUACGGGAGGCAGCAGUGGGGAAUUUUGGACAAUGGGCGCAAGCCUGAUCCAGCCAUGCCGCGUGCGGGAAGAAGGCCUC
This 387-nucleotide ribosomal RNA is filed under the name uncultured bacterium. RNAcentral describes it as "bacterial SSU rRNA". It matches the Rfam family "Bacterial small subunit ribosomal RNA", at positions 29 to 418 of the family's 1533-position model. The record is from RNAcentral.